Molecule: long non-coding RNA, 1241 nt
Filed under: Felis catus (domestic cat)
Lineage: Eukaryota; Metazoa; Chordata; Mammalia; Carnivora; Felidae
Description: lncRNA (ENSFCAG00000047181.1)
Source: RNAcentral
GGAGACACAGAAUCGGAAACAGGCUCCAGGCUCUGAGCCAUCAGCCCAGAGCCCAACGCGGGGCUCGAACUCAUGGACCGCAAGAUCGUGACCUGGCUGAAGUCGGACGCUUAACCGACUGCGCCACCCAGGCGCCCCUACAUGCAGUUCUUUUAAAACUUCUCUUGUUCCUUGUAUUCUGCUAUUUUCCUGGAGACCAUUUGAUCUGCACUAUUCCUCACCAGCAUAGGAAGUGUUCUUAUGGUAGCUGAUCUCUCCUAAACCUGUGAAAGCUUCUUGUGCUGAGGAUUAUUAGGUUCAAAUUCCCAUUUUUGCUAGGUAAAAAAAAAAUGGCUUGAAUAUCAGAAAUGUCACAUGGUUGAAGCUUUAUUUGCUGUGGCAAGAAAUUCAUAAAGAAUUGAAAGAAUUGCCUAACAGGUGUAAACAGCCUGCUCUUUGCGUAUUUUUUUUAAUGUUUAUUUAUUUUUGAAGGAGAGAGAGACGGAGCAUAAGCAGGGGAAGAGCAGAGAGAGAGGGAGACAUAGGAUCCGAAGCAGGCUCCAGGCUCUGAGAGCCCAACAUGGGGCUCAAACUCACAAACCAUGAGAUCAUGACCUGAGCUGAAGUUGGAUGCUCAACCGACUGAUCCACCCAGGCGCCCCAACAGCCUGAUCUUUGUCGUCUUAUUUUCUGUUCUCCGACAAAGGAAAAAGCUGGUGUUCCACGCUCCCAUCAUCCCUGGCACUGUCACUACCCAGUGGAGAAAGGUAGAACUGCCACCACAACUUCAUGUCCAAGUUCUCUCUGCUGAUUCUUUACAACUGGUAGGUUUGUACAACUCUCUGAUGAUCUGGUAUUGGUAUUCAAAAGUAAUGACAACAGCAGAAAGAUCCAUGGUGAAAGUAGUAGAAGGAAAACAUUUUCUACAUCUCUUCCUCUCUUUUAUGUAGAGGAUAUUUAUAGGCUAAGAAAUUGCAAAGAGGAUAUAUAUUCAAACUAUCUUUAAAGUAACAUUUACAGAUCCAUUUCAAUUUAAUUUAUUCCUUUUACGUUAGCUUUUAAGCAAUGGCAUCAGUAGAGUGUCAGUAGAUUGCUGCCCUAGACACCCGGGACCGUCAUUCACUUACCAUAUUUGAAUGUCAAACUCUGUUCUGGGUGGGUGCUGGGAAAUUCAGUAGUGAACAGUACAGAUGAAGUUCCCUCCUCAUGCGAUCAAACAAAUGAUAAAUACAUAAUCCAAUAAAUUCAACAAGAAAAUAUCA